CCCUAGCCCCGAUGGAAGGGAAAAUCCUUUUUUGUUGCUUUUUCUGCAACAAAAAAGAUUGGAAUGACAGCGGGAAAUAGC
This 81-nucleotide small RNA is filed under the name Flavobacterium sp. 5. Its description in RNAcentral is "Flavo-1 RNA". It matches the Rfam family "Flavo-1 RNA". The record is from RNAcentral. Lineage: Bacteria; Pseudomonadati; Bacteroidota; Flavobacteriia; Flavobacteriales; Flavobacteriaceae.